This 634-nucleotide long non-coding RNA is filed under the name Calidris pugnax (ruff). RNAcentral's name for it is "lncRNA (ENSCPUG00000008584.1)". The record is from RNAcentral. Lineage: Eukaryota; Metazoa; Chordata; Aves; Charadriiformes; Scolopacidae.
AUGCCAGUCCCAGUGCCGAUACUGGUCCCAGUUCCAUCCCAGUGCCAUCCCAGUACCAAUACUGGUGCUGUCCCAGUUCUAGUCCCAGUUCCAGUGCCCAUACUGGUCCCAGUUCUGAUACUGGUUCCAGUCCCAUCCCAGUGCCAUCCCAGUACCGAUACUGGUCCCGGUGCUGAUGCCAGUCCCAGUGCCAAUACUGGUCCCAGUUCCAUCCCAGUACCAAUACUGGUUCUGAUGUCAUCCCAGUUCCAUUCCAGUUCCGUCCCAGUACCGAUACUGGUCCCAGUGCUGAUGCCAGUCCCAGUUCCAGUUCCGAUACUGAUCCCAGUGCCAGUCCCAGUGCCGAUACUGGUCCUGGUGCCGUCCCAGUUCCAUCCCAGUCCCGAUACUGGUGCUGUUCCAGUGCCAUCCCAGUGCCGAUACCGCUCCCAGUGCCGGGCUUUUGGGGUUCCAGUGCCAUUUUUGGGGUGCCGGGGUGGGUUUUGGGGUGCAAGUGGGGGUUUUUGGGGUGUCGGGGGUGCCAGUUUUGGGGUGCCCAGGUUUUGGGGUGCGGGGGCCAAUUUUGGGGUGUCUGGGAGGGGUUUUGGGGUGUCGAUGUCGAUGUCAAUGUAUUGGGAUGUCAAUGUUGGGUGUC